AAUCAUCAUUUUGAUCAUUCGUAUAUCUGCAUAUAAAAUAACUAUUUAUAACUGACUUCUUCUUCCUCCCUUCGAUUCCUACGCUUCUGGGGUGUUUGUUUUCGGUAUUCAAACACCCAGAGAGUCUUCUUCCUCUGCACCCAGGUAACAUAAACAAUUCCAUUUUGCCUCCAGAAUCUCUUACUUUUAUUAUCAUUUUCCCUUCAUCUUUCCUCCUUUUCUCUUGCCUUUCCGGAAUGGCUAUCAAUGGGAUUGUGCUUUGCGAUUUUUUUUUUUCCUGGGCAGCAAUAUUUCUGAUCUUGCUUCUUUUUUGUUCCUCUACAAGUGCAGUUGCUCAUUCCGUCAACCAUUUAAUAUUUCCUGGUGGCGGAUCAGAAACUUGGUGGGUGCAAUUGCUUAUUCCGUCGUACUUUCUAAAUCAAGACUGCACAACUCAUUUAAGAUCAUUUGGGCUGUAAAUAGCUCAGCGUGGUUGCGCCGGCCCUUAUCGGAAAGCCUUCAACUA
This 505-nucleotide long non-coding RNA is filed under the name Coffea arabica (coffee). Its description in RNAcentral is "long non-coding RNA (CARA_LNC006176)". Lineage: Eukaryota; Viridiplantae; Streptophyta; Magnoliopsida; Gentianales; Rubiaceae. The record is from RNAcentral.